RNAcentral lists this ribosomal RNA (459 nucleotides) under uncultured bacterium. RNAcentral describes it as "partial 16S ribosomal RNA". It matches the Rfam family "Bacterial small subunit ribosomal RNA", at positions 338 to 795 of the family's 1533-position model. The record is from RNAcentral.
CCUACGGGGGGCAGCAGUGAGGAAUAUUGGUCAAUGGCCGGAAGGCUGAACCAGCCAAGCCGCGUGAGGGAGGAAGGCGCAGAGCGUCGCAGACCUCUUUUGCCGGGGGACAAAAUGCCGGACUCGUACGGUCCUGAGGGUACCCGGUGAAAAAGCAUCGGCUAACUCCGUGCCAGCAGCCGCGGUAAUACGGAGGAUGCGAGCGUUAUCCGGAUUCAUUGGGUUAAAGGGGUGCGCAGGCGGGCCUUUAGGCCGGCGGGUAAAUCGCGGGGCUAAACCCCGAAGAGCCGUCGGAACUGGGGGCCGUGAGUGCAGCAGAGGCAGGCGGAAUGCGUGGUGUAGCGGUGAAAUGCGUAGAUAUCGCGAAGAACCCCGAUGGCGAAGGCAGCGUGCUGGGCCGUAACUGACGCUGAGGCACGAAAGCGCGGGGAUCGAACAGGAUUAGAUACCCGAGUAGUC